UACAGAGGUCUCAAGCGUUGUUCGGAUUCAUUGGGCGUAAAGGGUGCGUAGGCGGCGUGGUAAGUCGGGUGUGAAAUCUUGGAGCUUAACUCCGAAACUGCAUUCGAUACUGCCGUGCUUGAGGACUGGAGAGGAGACUGGAAUUUACGGUGUAGCGGUGAAAUGCGUAGAUAUCGUAAGGAAGACCAGUGGCGAAGGCGGGUCUCUGGACAGUUCCUGACGCUGAGGCACGAAGGCCAGGGGAGCAAACGGG
This 253-nucleotide ribosomal RNA is filed under the name uncultured bacterium. Its description in RNAcentral is "partial 16S ribosomal RNA". It matches the Rfam family "Bacterial small subunit ribosomal RNA", at positions 524 to 776 of the family's 1533-position model. The record is from RNAcentral.